This 470-nucleotide ribosomal RNA is filed under the name uncultured bacterium. RNAcentral describes it as "bacterial SSU rRNA". It matches the Rfam family "Bacterial small subunit ribosomal RNA", at positions 198 to 649 of the family's 1533-position model. The record is from RNAcentral.
GGAGGAAAGUAGGGGAUCGAAAGACCUUAUGCUUUUGGAGCGGCCGAUGUCUGAUUAGCUAGUUGGUAAGGUAAUGGCUUACCAAGGCGACGAUCAGUAGUUGGUCUGAGAGGACGACCAGCCACACUGGGACUGAGACACGGCCCAGACUCCUACGGGAGGCAGCAGUGGGGAAUUUUGGAANNUGGGCGCAAGCCUGAUCCAGCAAUGCCGCGUGAGUGAAGAAGGCCUUCGGGUUGUAAAGCUCUUUCAGUCGAGAAGAAAAGGUUGUGACUAAUAAUCAUAACUCAUGACGGUAUCGACAGAAGAAGCACCGGCUAACUACGUGCCAGCAGCCGCGGUAAUACGUAGGGUGCGAGCGUUAAUCGGAAUUACUGGGCGUAAAGGGUGCGCAGGCGGUUCUGUAAGUCAGAUGUGAAAUCCCCGGGCUUAACCUGGGAACUGCGUUUGAAACUACAAAGCUAGAAGGG